Syngnathoides biaculeatus (alligator pipefish) is the source of this 710-nucleotide long non-coding RNA. RefSeq lists it as uncharacterized. The record is from RefSeq and is a predicted model, not a curated record. The transcript has 3 exons. NCBI's taxonomy places the organism in Eukaryota, Metazoa, Chordata, Actinopteri, Syngnathiformes, Syngnathidae.
GUAACAUUGCGCACGCGUAUUUCUCACUUUACGUGAAGCUGUUAGCUUUCGGCAACCUGACUCCUUUUUUCAUUAAAUAAGAUGGCUUUGUGACGCGAAGGCAACACUAGCACAACGAUGGCUAGCACCGGCUUGUGCGAAGAGGCGUUGUUAUCCCGUUUCUCCGCUAGAGAGAAGAGGAAUGCACCUCUGCGAGCGAGCGGCCACGGUGUAACCCGAUGAUCCCCACGGAUCCGCCUCGGCAGUCUCGUCGCCGGGGAUGGAGGUUCCCCGCUGGACCUGAUCUACGAUGCGCUCAGCCUUCGGACAGGGUCUCGGCAGUACAGUAGUCAUUAAAAAUCCACCGGCGGCUUGGUGUGUUUAUCACCAAACAUGGACGUAGGCCACACAGAGUGUGCGAAUGAAACCUGAGAAAGUUGUCUUAGUUGGAGAGCAGUUCCUCCCCGGCAAAAAAAAAAAAAAAAAUGUAAAAUUAAAAAAAGAUGGAGAACCCCCUGUUCUUUUACCUGCAAAACGUUCUUUCAACUACUUUUGCUGCAUUCCGAUUUUGUGUAAUUCCAAGGAGUCAAAAGUCAAAUAAUGGUGGUCUUCCUCUGCAAAGCCUCGACCUGUUGCUCCACCGGAGGAUUAUUGGAAUAUAUUCCAGCGCGCGUCCACGGGAUGCACAUUCCCUCUCAUUUGCCCCCAAAGUCUUGCUCUCUGAGCUCUGC